CAGUAGCCGCGGUAAAACGGAGGGGGCUAGCGUUGUUCGGAAUUACUGGGCGUAAAGCGCACGUAGGCGGCUUGGUAAGUUAGAGGUGAAAGCCUGGAGCUCAACUCCAGAAUUGCCUUUAAGACUGCCGAGCUAGCAGGUGAGAGAGGUAAGUGGAAUUCCGAGUGUAGAGGUGAAAUUCGUAGAUAUUCGGAAGAACACCAGCGGCGAAGGCGGCUUACUGGCUCAUACUGGACGCUGAGGUGCGAAAGCGUGGGGAGCAAACAGGAUUAGAUACCCCCGUAGUCCCUGUCUCUUAUAC
Molecule: ribosomal RNA, 301 nt
Filed under: uncultured bacterium
Lineage: Bacteria
Description: partial 16S ribosomal RNA
Rfam family: Bacterial small subunit ribosomal RNA
Source: RNAcentral